UAGGCAUGCAGUCGAGCGAGAGUCUUUUUGCUUGCAUUAAGACGGACAGCGGCGAAAGGGAGAGUAACGCGUAGAAAUGUACCCCAAGGUCUGGGAUAGCGGCGGGAAACUGCCGGUAAUACCGGAUAAUGUCUCCGGACCAAAGUUUUUCGCCUUGGGAGCAGUCUGCGUACUAUUAGGUAGUUGGUGGGGUAAUGGCCUACCAAGCCUCAGAUGGUUAGCGGGCGUGAGAGCGUGGCCCGUCUCACUGGGACUGAGACACUGCCCAGACAACUACGGUUGGCUGCAGUCGAGAAUCUUCCGCAAUGGGCGAAAGCCUGACGGAGCAAUGCCGCGUGGUGGAUGAAGGCCCUCGGGUUGUAAACACCUGUCAGUAGGAAGGAAAUUUUGACCGAUCUACAGAGGAAGUCCGGGCUAAGUACGUGCCAGCAGCCGCGGUAAUACGUACCGGACGAACGUUAUUCGGAAUCACUGGGCUUAAAGAGUACGUAGGCUGCCAUGAAGGUGAGAUGUGAAAUCCCACGGCCUAACCGUGGAACUGCAUUUCAAACCACAUGGCUUGAGGGAGACAGGGGUAAGCGGAACUGAUGGUGGAGCGGUGAAAUGCGUUGAUAUCAUCAGGAACACCGGUGGCGAAGGCGGCUUACUGGGUCUUUUCUGACGCUGAGGUACGAAAGCUAGGGUAGCGAACGGGAUUAGAUACCCCGGUAGUCCUAGCUGUAAACGAUGAGCACUAGUUCGAGGGGACUUCCACAU
This 756-nucleotide ribosomal RNA is filed under the name uncultured bacterium. Its description in RNAcentral is "bacterial SSU rRNA". It matches the Rfam family "Bacterial small subunit ribosomal RNA", at positions 50 to 837 of the family's 1533-position model. The record is from RNAcentral.